AUUGGGUUGCCCAAAAAGUUUGUUCUGGUUUUUCUGUAACAUCUUACGGAAAGACCCAAACGAACUUUUUGGCCAACUCGAU
This 82-nucleotide microRNA precursor is filed under the name Tursiops truncatus (common bottlenose dolphin). Its description in RNAcentral is "miRNA (ENSTTRG00000024949.1)". The record is from RNAcentral. Lineage: Eukaryota; Metazoa; Chordata; Mammalia; Artiodactyla; Delphinidae.